Unclassified non-coding RNA from Pongo abelii (Sumatran orangutan), 148 nucleotides. It matches the Rfam family "Metazoan signal recognition particle RNA". Rfam says of the family: The signal recognition particle (SRP) is a universally conserved ribonucleoprotein. The record is from Ensembl. Lineage: Eukaryota; Metazoa; Chordata; Mammalia; Primates; Hominidae.
GCCAGGCGUGGUGGCGCGUGCCUGUAAUCCCAGCUACUCUGGAGGCUGAGGCAGGAGAAUUGCUUGAACCCAGGAGGUGGAGGUUGCAGUGAGCCGAUAUUGCGCCACUGCGCUCCAGCCUGGGUGACAGAGCAAGACUCCAUCUCAA